This 641-nucleotide ribosomal RNA is filed under the name uncultured Actinomycetes bacterium. Its description in RNAcentral is "SSU rRNA". It matches the Rfam family "Bacterial small subunit ribosomal RNA", at positions 282 to 915 of the family's 1533-position model. Lineage: Bacteria; Bacillati; Actinomycetota; Actinomycetes. The record is from RNAcentral.
CGUAGCUGGUCUGAGAGGACGAUCAGCCACACUGGGACUGAGACACGGCCCAGACUCCUACGGGAGGCAGCAGUGGGGAAUCUUGCGCAAUGAGCGAAAGCUUGACGCAGCGACGCCGCGUGAGGGAAGAAGGCCUUCGGGUUGUAAACCUCUUUCAGGAGGGACGAAGCCGCUCGGGUUAAUACCCCAGAGGGUGACGGUACCUCCAGAAGAAGCCCCGGCUAACUACGUGCCAGCAGCCGCGGUAAUACGUAGGGGGCUAGCGUUGUCCGGAUUUAUUGGGCGUAAAGAGCGUGUAGGCGGCCAGGUAGGUCUGCUGUGAAAACUCGAGGCUCAACCUCGAGACGUCGGCAGAAACCAUCUGGCUAGAGUCCGGAAGAGGAGAGUGGAAUUCCUGGUGUAGCGGUGAAAUGCGCAGAUAUCAGGAAGAACACCCGUGGCGAAGGCGGCUCUCUGGGACGGUACUGACGCUGAGACGCGAAAGCGUGGGGAGCGAACAGGAUUAGAUACCCUGGUAGUCCACGCCGUAAACGAUGGGUGCUAGGUGUGGGGGGUGUGGACUCCCUCCGUGCCGAAGCUAACGCAUUAAGCACCCCGCCUGGGGAGUACGGCCGCAAGGCUAAAACUCAAAGGAAUGGACG